RNAcentral lists this long non-coding RNA (1123 nucleotides) under Olea europaea (common olive). RNAcentral describes it as "long non-coding RNA (OEUR_LNC004036)". Lineage: Eukaryota; Viridiplantae; Streptophyta; Magnoliopsida; Lamiales; Oleaceae. The record is from RNAcentral.
CAAUCACCAUUCCUCAGUUUUCCACACUGUCUAAUUUCGUUUUCUUUCAACUCUAAAAAAGUUUGAAAAAUGGGGUCACGAAACGAAGUCGAGCGGUUGCCAGCACCAUAUGGUAACCAACAUGAAGCUCCGCCGGCGCCAGAUGUGGAGGAGAAGAAGAACAAAUUUGGUCGGAUGGGGACAGGAAUGGCUGCCGGCGCGGUAGCAGGGGUGGUAGGUGGAAUUGCAUCGAACUGGAAAAAAAUACAGCAAUGGAUAAAAGAAAGAAAAGAAAGGAAAAGAAGACGAUGAAAAAGAUAUAUGCGAAGAAGACUUGAACACUUAAAAUUUGUUGUUCGUAUUUGCCUCCUCUGCUUUUAAAGGAUUAAAAUGGUAAGUAGUUUGUAGUACGUGUCAAGCCAAAGUAAUUCUCCAAUUGUUGGAUGAAUAAUAGAUUGAUUAUUUAUAAUUUUCAAUUCAGACGUGCCGGACGUCCAGGCGCCUAUUUGGCGCCCCCCUAUUGGGGGGUCGCCUGUCACUGUCAGACGACCCCCCAAUAGGGGGGGGCGCCAAAUAGGCCCCAGGACGUCCAGGCCGCUGGACGUCCAGUUUUAUUCUUUUCAAUUAUCCCUACCCAAAGUGGUUACAGCUCAAUAAGAAAAUGGGACCGAGUUUUUUCCAUAGGGGUCUUACCGACCCGUUACUGUAGGGGUCGGUCCCACAUGAAAAAAAAAAAUACGUUGGACCCGCGAUUGUAAGAGAUCCGACAAGGUCUGUAAAAUAGACACCUGUAAGUGUAGCAGCGUUCAAGAAAAUUUGAAAUGAUUCACCGAGAAAAUCACUAGAAAAUUCGAAAAAAUCCAGCCAAUGGCUAUAUUUUAAUAUUAUGCGACCGCAUAGGUUAUAGCCAUGUGUUCACAUAACUAUAGCAUCGAUCGCCUUUUUAGUCACUGAAGGCACUCAUGCGAUUGUAGGCCUCAAAAGCCUAUGCAGUCGCAUAAACAAUAUUAUGGCAUGGUUUUUUCAUUUUUUUUUUUUUUUGUUAAUUUUCAAUUCAUUCACACUUGAUUUUGAUCAACAAGAUUACAACAAUUCCCCACUUGUUCAAAAUCAAUGUUAAUUACCUAAUCAAAUAUCAACACUC